CAUAUGGAGGUUCCCAGGCUAGGGGGCUAAUUGGUGCUAUAGAUGCUGGCCUAUGCCAGAACCAGAGCAAUGUGGGAUCCGAGCCGCAUCUGCAACCUACACCACAGCUCAUGGCAACGCGGGAUCCUUAACCCACUGAGCGAGGCCAGGGAUUGAACCCACAACCUUAUGGUUCCUAGUCAGAUUCGUUAACCACUGUGACGACAGAACUCCCCCGGAAUUUUUUAAAUUUUUAAAAUAAGAAAGAGAAUGAAUGGUGAAGAUGAGAUUUAUUGGCCUUGAGAUUAUGAAAAAAUACUGGUAUGAAUUUCAUAAGAAAAUUGACAUUAACUUCAAGAUGAUGGAGCUGUGUUGAUUUACAUGGUAUUUGUUUUCUGUUGGUUUAGGGAGAUAGGAAGUGUCUCUGACCCUACUAAGGUCUGAAAGAUGGACUUCAUACACCAACUAAAUGAUCCAGAGUAGGCUGACCCAUCUUCCUGUGUCCCAUUUUCUCCAUUUCUAUAAUAGGGGUAAUAAUAUCUACUUCUCUGAGUUGCCAUGAGAAUCAAAUUAAUUUACAUAUAUGAAAGUGCCUUAAAAAUUGCAAAAUGACAGACAAAAGUAAGGUAGUACUGGAGUUCCCACUGUGGCACAGCAGGUUAAGGAUCUGGUGUUGUCUCUGCCGUGGCUCAAUUUGCUGAGGAGGUACGGGUUCGAUCCCUGGGCAAGUGCAGUGGCUUAAGGAUCUGGUGCUGCUGCAGUUGUGGUGUAGGCUGCAGGUGUGGCUCAGAUUCAAUCCCUGUCUGGGGUACGCUCAUAUGCCACAGGUUAGACCAAAAAAAGGAAGGAAGUACUUAUUAUGAAAUUUCUUUCAAAAACAAAAACAAAAACAAACAAAAAAAAAAACCAAGUUCCCAUCAUGACUCAGUGCAAAUGAAUCUGACUAGCAUCCAUGAGGACACAGGUUCAAUCCCUGGCCCUGAUCAGUGGGUUAAGGAUUUGGCAUUGUCGCAAGCUGUGGUGUAGGUUGCAGGUGCAGCUCAGAUCUGACAUGGUUGUGUGUGCGGUGUAGGCUGGCAGCUACAGCUCCAAUUCCACCCCUAGUUUGGGAACCUCCAUAUGCUGUAGGUACCGCCCUAAAAGGGCAAAAGAGAAAAAAUAUUAAAAAAAAAAAGCAGAAGUGUGUGCAUUAUACUCUGUAAACAAGUACAUAAAAUAAUUUAUCAGGGAAGUGGCAGGAAUAGGAAAGUCAUUAUAAGGAGAUGGGAUUUUUUUUUUUCUAUUGUCAUUCUCUCCAUUAUGAAUAAUUUACACAGUUUCCAGUUCAGGACAAGUGAUCAGGUCUUCCCUUAAAGUCCUUCAGGAAAGCUCAAACAGCCACAAGUUGGAACUCUGGCCACUUGCCAAUAUUUGUUCAAAGACAGCUCUAAAUAAGGUAGUUUAAUAAUCAGAAACUGGAAAUUUCUCUCCUUUCCCACACACCAGCAUUCUCCCGCCUUCUCGUCUGUUAGAUAUUUUACUAGUUUCAACAAAUGUAGGUCAAUAUAUGCAACAGCCACUUUAACCGUAAGUAUUUUCUUUUAUACUUGUUUUCUAAAGAAGGGAGAAAUGUGUCCAUGCUUGUUUUUAUUUUACCUUCAGAAUAAUCUAAUUUCCUUGAGACACUGUAAAACAGCAAAAAUUAUUCCUAUUUAUUAAAUAUAGGUCAAAGAAGGUAUUUGUAUUUAUGUUAAGGAAAUUUCUAUUAAGGUUGUAGAAGAGGGGAGUCUACUGUCGAGAUGAUACUUCAUGAGACUAAGACAAAUUCACCAACACACUUUCCAUAUUCCCACUAUAAAAUAGACUAAACACUGCACUGUACCAGACAUAUGGCUGCAGCAGCUCCACUGUCUAUCUCUACCAUAAAUACCAAGAAAUCUGCCUAAAAAAUGCCUCAUGGCUUUUGACAUCAGGGUCAAACAACUCAAAAGUUUACGGAAUGAGACUGUUUACAAAACAGAAUGAUUAAAGGAAAUGAAGUUUAUCUGGAAUAUCGAAUUUUAAAAAUCUGUUAAAAUGUUCUUCCUAAUGACAAAUGUAACAUAUUUUCAUUCUUGAGGAUAACAAUAUAGAUAAACCAAAAGAAGGAAAAACAUCAAGCCACAAUUUAUCCAUCCAGAGAUCACAGAGCAAAUAUAUUUGGUAUAUACCCUUUCAGGCAUAUUUCUUACAAAUUCAUAUGUAUGUUUAAUACACAUGACUCACACUGGACAUAUACCAUCUUGUAACCUACUGAACAUAUGUACGUGUCGGCGUACUGUGAUUUAAGAGAACAGGUGCCUGUCAGUCUGCCUGGGUUUGGAUCUCAGCUGUCACUGACUAAUGGGAUGACAUCUGGCUGUGUGAGAUCACCUAGGAAGUGCACGUAGCUAAAGGGUAUCAUCAAGUUGUAUAUGUUAAAUACGUAUAUAAUUUUUUAUGAGAGAGAGAGAGCGAGCGAGAGAGGGAGAGAGAAACCUAGGACAAAAGCUCGUUGGUGAUGAGAGAGGUUUGGGAGAAGGGAAGCAGCCAAGGAGACUUGAGAAAGAAUAACAAGUCGAGUAGGAGGAAAGCUGAGGAAGUGUGGUAUCCUGGAAACCAAGAGAAGAAAAGUUUAUCAAGGGGGAGGUAAUAGUCAACUUUUGCUGAAAAGAUGAGCACUGAGAAGAGACCAUCAGAUCUGGUGACAUGGAGGUCACUGGUCACCUUGACACAACCGUUUGGGUAGAAUGAUGGCACGGAAAGUCUGAUGGGGGACAGCGUGAGAGAAGCGGGGAGAGGGAAAGAAAAGAGUAUAGCCAACUUUGGGGGGGGACUUUGGUUACAAUGAAGGACAGAGAAAUGGAUCAGUAGGUGACAGAAAAGCACAGACGAAUGAAGGUGUGUUUUAAUUAUAGUAUGAUGUUCAAAGUUGGCUCUUACCAUGUUUGCUACUGAUUAACGGUAAUGUGACUUACAUACACAUGGUAAAUUAUUUUCAAAUAAGAUGACAUUCUGAUACAUCUCUCUACAUACAAUACAUUCACGUUCCCACCCUCCUCUGCUCCGUGGUGAUUUUAACUAAAAAAGUAGCUAAAUAUAUAAGAAUGAUAGGUAAAUUUCCCAUUACUCAAAUUUACAAGUUGUUCAGUUAUUAUAUAGGAAACACUUCGGCAAAUAAGAACCUUGACUCUAAAUGGAAACAUUAUUUUCUAAAGUAAAAACCAGAUGAUUAAUUGCUUUACGUUUAUUCCAGUUAGCAUCACACAGGAUAAAAGACAUUGCCAAAGCACAACCUGGUCUCUGUUAUAGAUAGGAGCACUACAGCUUCUGUAUUCAAGUGAAAGUGAACCAUCUGAUGACUUAAAUCAUUUUACAUACAAUCACUACUAUUGGUAAUAAUUGUUAACAUUCAUUGACGGUUUUGUGCCAAGCGGCCAGGCUUUAGUUCUCACAAAAAAAGUUUGCAUUAGGCAUUAUUAUUAUCCUCACUGUAUACAUGAAGAAAUAGAAAGCCUCAGCAGAAAGAGAUGAAAACUUAGCCAGGUCUUCACAGAUGAUAAGCUAUGUGGCUGUCUAACCCCAAGGCAUGCUCUGAAGCAGGGCUGCUACUAGCCCAUACAGUGCCCUUUGGCAAUUAGAAAACAGUGCUAAACAGCACUCCAUUUUGCAAAUAAAAUUUAAAGUUAGUUUCUUGUCACACAACCCAAAUGACUAUUUCCAAGGGGCUCUAUCCAGAAAAACAGCUGGCAGCCACUCUACCUGUACACAUACGAUGCCUAUACUUUUGCCUGCUUCCACACCAGGACACAUACUCCACGCAAUCUUUAAAUACUUUUUACUGUUCCUCCUUUACUGUAGGGAACUACAUCAAGUCCAAGGUUGGGGAAUUGGAAGCAGGUUUUGGUGAAAGUAUCAGGAAACUGGGCGAAGCAAUCCCAGGUGUCACUAGGAACAUGGUCAGAACAGGUACACCUCAUGCAGGUGUGUGGCAGUAUACAGAUGAAUGGUUUCCUGAGUAUGUGUGUGUGUCCAUAUGCAGCCAAUGUGGGUUUUUGUACGAGUCAACUUUCCACUGCUCCAGAACUUGGCCAAGAGGUCUGGAAUCUCCAGGCCUGUCUGUGCUUUUAUAUAUAUUAAUACAUGUCUUACGAUGUCAAUUAGGACAUUCUUAAUUGUGAUGUUCUUGUACAGUGGACAACCUGAAUACUCCUAUGCAGCUGCCUUACUCCUAAUCAGUCUUUGGUUCAUUAGACAACUACAUGGAAAGCACUGUACUAGGUGCUACAGGAGAUGCUAAGAACUUGCUCUUUUUAUCAAGGAACAUAAUUUCCAGUAAGAAAAAUAUGCACACAAAGAGUAUACAUUACAAAGUGAUAAGUUCUGUAAGAAAAGUAUUGAAAAAUUGCUAAGUGAAUUCACAAGAGGAAAUGUUUCAGUUUGAUUAAGUAAAGAAAAUUUCAUGAAGGAGGAAACACUUGAGGAGUGGCUUGGAAGAUGGAAUUUGGAUGUGCAGAAAGAGAAGAAAGCAUAUUUCAGAGGGGAGAGUGUAGAUAAAAGCAGAAAGAAGUGAAAGUGUGCUACACACACGGAAACAUUGGAUGCUUAAGUUGAGCAAAGUAAUGUACUGAUUCUGAAUCCUGCCUUGGACUCCUGAAGGACUAUGAAGCUGUUACAGUGCUUUUCCAAAAUACUGGCAAAAUAUAAAAAGACUGACAAAUGUCUUAAACACAUAUUACAACUAAUUUAAAAACACAUUAGUGCUUUUGAUUAAUAUAACAUAAAUUCCUUCAAAAACGCUACUGAAUUCAUAAUAGAACACUGUUAUAUACUUUCUAAAUCAAUAAAUACCAAGUGUAGAACUACUAUGAUGAGCUAGUCUAAGAAAGUUUGCAGUGUUAAUAAAAGGAAUCCCGUGUUCAAAAGGCUGAUGAAUUCUGUAGUUACACAAACCCUUAUCUGAAUUCCAUCGCUACCAAUAAUUAUUGUAUGGUAUUAGACAAAUCUUUCAAGUUUGUUUCUUCAUCUCUGUAGCAGGAAUUAUAAAACCAACCUUACUUGUUCUGAUAGAGAAAAUCAUGGCAUGUUUUAGGCAUUCAGAAAAUGCUAAGUAUUACAAAAUGAAAAGCUGAGGUUAAAUCAGAGUCCACCUUGAAUGUCAAGCUAAGGAGCUGGUACUUUUUCAGGCUAGAUAGUUACUGCAGGUGAGAGGGAUUGGACCUGGGACCCUUUGUUGCAGUGCUUAUACCUGGACAAAACUUCUCCCCAAACAUUUCCUGAGCAACAAACUACAAAGAAACUAUAAGGGACUAAAAACAACUGUGCCUCUACCGCUGGGGCAAAUUGUAAAAAAAACAAUAAACAAAAAGACCAAAAACCCAACUGCCACCUCUGAGGUAAAGGGAGCAAAAGCAGGUUAUUGUGCAAGACGGCUACACAAAGCACCACUAAAGGGAUGGGAAGACCACGUGAGCCAUCCUUCUGGCCAGACUCAUGUAUUCACCCCUAUCCUCAUCACAUUUAAGGAACCAGCUUGCCCUGUGCACCCCAGGGAGCAUGCAAGGAAACCUGUUUCUUGUUUUCCCUCUCUGGUGCACUAUAGCACAGCCCCAGUAAAGUCAUGCCCGAAUUUCUUAUCUGGCCUCUUAGCAAUUUCUACUGAGUGAGGAGUCCAGGAACCCAGGUUGGAAACACAGGAUUUUUGUCCAAGUGGCAGAAAAAUCAAGGAGGGAAAAGAGUCUGAAAGAUAUUGCAGUUGUCCAAGUGAGGCAAAAAAAAAGCACUCGCAGUGAAUUUCUGGAAUAUUUCGGACUAUAAACUAUAGGAUUCCGAAUUUCCUGGGUAUGAAGAAUGAGAUUAAAGCCCACUAUUUUGAUCUAGUUGGUGCUGUUUACAACAACAGAAGACCAAUGCCCUAACCUGGGAAAUUCCAUAAGUCGUAGCUACGGCCCUUAAAAAAAAAAAAAAAAAGGCAAAGACAGAGGUGACGUUCAGUUUCAUAUUUUGAGCUUAGCACCCAAAAUUAUCCUGGCUGAAAAUGCAUAAACAAAGCUUCAAAUAUGAUCUGAGUUGAAACAAAGUUCUGGAAAUUUUGUUCAUUCUCUUAAAUCCUAAGUUUUAAAAAACUUUUUCUUACGACAUCAUAAUUCACUCCGGGACACCUUAUACGUUACAGGGUUCUGCGAAACGACGCUGAAAACUGCCAAGUUCCUUCUGGACCCAGGAUA
This 6203-nucleotide long non-coding RNA is filed under the name Sus scrofa (pig). RNAcentral's name for it is "lncRNA (ENSSSCG00000059265.1)". Lineage: Eukaryota; Metazoa; Chordata; Mammalia; Artiodactyla; Suidae. The record is from RNAcentral.